GACGAACGCUGGCGGCGUGCCUAACACAUGCAAGUCGAACGGGAAAGGGAGCUUGCUUUCUUUUCUAGUGGCGGACGGGUGAGUAAUGCGUGAGCAACCUGCCUGUUAGAGGGGGAUAACGUUCGGAAACGAAUGCUAAUACCGCAUAUAGUACAUAAUUCGCAUGAAUAAGUGUAUGAAAGGAGCAAUCCGCUAACAGAUGGGCUCGCGUCCGAUUAGUUAGUUGGUGGGGUAAAGGCCUACCAAGGCAGCGAUCGGUAGCCGGGCUGAGAGGCUGAACGGCCACAUUGGGACUGAGACACGGCCCAGACUCCUACGGGUGGCUG
RNAcentral lists this ribosomal RNA (326 nucleotides) under uncultured Bacillota bacterium. RNAcentral describes it as "bacterial SSU rRNA". It matches the Rfam family "Bacterial small subunit ribosomal RNA", at positions 28 to 351 of the family's 1533-position model. Lineage: Bacteria; Bacillati; Bacillota. The record is from RNAcentral.